GAUGAACGCUGGCGGCGUGCUUAACACAUGCAAGUCGAGCGAGUGAGUUCUUCGGAACGAUCUAGCGGCGGACGGGUGAGUAACACGUGGGCAACCUGCCUCAUAGAGGGGAAUAGCCUCCCGAAAGGGAGAUUAAUACCGCAUAACAUCGUUGAAGGGCAUCCUUCGAUGAUCAAAGGAGUAAUCCGCUAUGAGAUGGGCCCGCGGCGCAUUAGCUAGUUGGUGAGGUAACGGCUCACCAAGGCGACGAUGCGUAGCCGACCUGAGAGGGUGAUCGGCCACAUUGGGACUGAGACACGGCCCAGACUCCUACGGGAGGCAGGAGUGGGGAAUAUUGCACAAUGGGGGAAACCCUGAUGCAGCAACGCCGCGUGAGUGAUGACGGCCUUCGGGUUGUAAAGCUCUGUCUUUGGGGACGAUAAUGACGGUACCCAAGGAGGAAGCCACGGCUAACUACGUGCCAGCAGCCGCGGUAA
This 476-nucleotide ribosomal RNA is filed under the name uncultured bacterium. Its description in RNAcentral is "partial 16S ribosomal RNA". It matches the Rfam family "Bacterial small subunit ribosomal RNA", at positions 28 to 523 of the family's 1533-position model. The record is from RNAcentral.